Molecule: non-coding RNA, 1611 nt
Organism: Dermacentor albipictus
Lineage: Eukaryota; Metazoa; Arthropoda; Arachnida; Ixodida; Ixodidae
Source: RefSeq, a predicted model, not a curated record
GUUGAAUGUAACCUUCAGUCGGUAUCUGCAGGAACAUAGAAGGAGGGACACCUGCAGGAAUGAAGGGCACUGAACUUACCAGCUGACCCCUUUGACACAACUUGUCCACAAGGCAGAAGUCGUCGUGGCAGUGAAGCACGUCGGUUUUCAGGUUGCGGACGGUGCAGCUCCAGUCCUGGCAGCCGAGGUCCUUCUGGACCUUGUCAAAGCUUUCCUUCGCCUGCAGCACAGCGGUCAAGCGAGAUGAUAGUGAAUGCACGCAGCAACGAUGAGGAAUAGUCGGGCAUAAUGAUACAUGCCUUACCGCUAACAUGAUCCAGUGUAGUACAGAUAAUGUGUCGAACUAACAUAAAUAAGGAAUAAUAGCUGGAAGGAUAAGCAAUCGAAGAACUUCGUGCUUUACGCGUAGUCUACUGGUAUUAGAGUGUUCUAGCUUUGCGUGAUACGCUAUCGUGAUACCUGAUAAGUUGGGCCAUCCGCAUUCGCGCGUCUUAUACCGCUGACUACCACGCUAGAUCACCGGGAUUGUGUAACACCACGGCAUAGUAACCGAGACCGCCCGCUUCAAUAGAAAUUCGCCCUGGCUGCUUCCUCUUCGUUGUGGCAGCUAGAAAUAAAUCAUAAUAAUCAGCUAUCGCUUAGUCCCAUCUCAUGCUGAGGACAAAGCAUUAGCGAUGUGUUCUUCUUAUUAUUAUGAUCAGCAAAAGUUUGCUUUCACGCUUCUAGGCCUAGAGAGGCGGCAGUGAACUGGGAAAGUAUAUUUAGCCUAGCGGAUGACGCCACAGCACUAGCGCUUAUGAUGUGUUGGUGAUACGGAACGCCCUAAAAGCCUAGUUCUUCACUGCUUCGUUAAUUUGAUACUGCGCUCUACCACGGUACGCGACGGCGGUAUGCCUAAACGUUGACCCCUCGGCGUGUCCACCAAGGCUCCGCGGAGAGGCAGCGCUUGAGCAGAGGCCCUACCGUUUCGCACAUCAGGGUGACAUGUCACGUAUCACGCAAAGCUAAAACUAUCUAUUUUAGAAGAACUGUAGUCUAUUUUAAAGGAAUGUAUACGGGUUGUUGUGGCGUGGGAUACGUGUGUGACCGGCAUUCUUGGGUGGAUGCGCGAAAAUGUUUGACAGCUGUGAUAGCUAACGAGGUCGAACCGUUUAGAGCUGGCGUUGAACCCCACUUAUUUUAUGUGGAUGACAAACAUGCAGCCGUACGGCAUGACUUUUAGGUUUUAAAAAAACGUCGCAUUCAGAUAUGCGGGGUCUGCAAAAAAGCAGCAGACAUUACUCAUGAUUUAUCUUUCAAAGUGGGCUUCGCGGCAUACGUUUGCCUGUAAUCACUUGCAGGCGGAAGUCGACUAUUUUCUCUCAUGCAUUCAGGUGUUUUACUACACAGCCUCCCAUAAGACUGGUGUGUCUUGCUGAGAGCUCAGUGCUACUAUAGCGAAGAAUUAGAACAUGUUACCGCUUUUGAGAUGAGCUCCUUGACGCCCUCUAGUUCACUCUUCAACUGCAUGUCAUUCUUUUCUGUGUAGAAGAAAAUUCACAUAGAUUAAUCUGACACGCCGCGGGACAUGGUUUGUGAUGCCACGUGAAUUUCACUUAGAUCCAAAAUGGC